Molecule: ribosomal RNA, 999 nt
Filed under: Pseudomonas aeruginosa PS50
Lineage: Bacteria; Pseudomonadati; Pseudomonadota; Gammaproteobacteria; Pseudomonadales; Pseudomonadaceae
Description: bacterial LSU rRNA
Rfam family: Bacterial large subunit ribosomal RNA
Source: RNAcentral
GGCCGUAACUAUAACGGUCCUAAGGUAGCGAAAUUCCUUGUCGGGUAAGUUCCGACCUGCACGAAUGGCGUAACGAUGGCGGCGCUGUCUCCACCCGAGACUCAGUGAAAUUGAAAUCGCUGUGAAGAUGCAGUGUAUCCGCGGCUAGACGGAAAGACCCCGUGAACCUUUACUGUAGCUUUGCACUGGACUUUGAGCCUGCUUGUGUAGGAUAGGUGGGAGGCUUUGAAGCGUGGACGCCAGUUCGCGUGGAGCCAUCCUUGAAAUACCACCCUGGCAUGCUUGAGGUUCUAACUCUGGUCCGUAAUCCGGAUCGAGGACAGUGUAUGGUGGGCAGUUUGACUGGGGCGGUCUCCUCCUAAAGAGUAACGGAGGAGUACGAAGGUGCGCUCAGACCGGUCGGAAAUCGGUCGCAGAGUAUAAAGGCAAAAGCGCGCUUGACUGCGAGACAGACACGUCGAGCAGGUACGAAAGUAGGUCUUAGUGAUCCGGUGGUUCUGUAUGGAAGGGCCAUCGCUCAACGGAUAAAAGGUACUCCGGGGAUAACAGGCUGAUACCGCCCAAGAGUUCAUAUCGACGGCGGUGUUUGGCACCUCGAUGUCGGCUCAUCACAUCCUGGGGCUGAAGCCGGUCCCAAGGGUAUGGCUGUUCGCCAUUUAAAGUGGUACGCGAGCUGGGUUUAGAACGUCGUGAGACAGUUCGGUCCCUAUCUGCCGUGGACGUUUGAGAUUUGAGAGGGGCUGCUCCUAGUACGAGAGGACCGGAGUGGACGAACCUCUGGUGUUCCGGUUGUCACGCCAGUGGCAUUGCCGGGUAGCUAUGUUCGGAAAAGAUAACCGCUGAAAGCAUCUAAGCGGGAAACUUGCCUCAAGAUGAGAUCUCACUGGGAACUUGAUUCCCCUGAAGGGCCGUCGAAGACUACGACGUUGAUAGGCUGGGUGUGUAAGCGUUGUGAGGCGUUGAGCUAACCAGUACUAAUUGCCCGUGAGGCUUGACCAU